GAAGAAGAGUGAAUACAGGUGUAUGUUUGGUUCGAACAUGGGAAUCAGAAUCGAAAUCAGAAUUAAAUAGUUGGUAAUUGGAAUGAGUUUGGUGAAAGUAUUUUACAUGU
Long non-coding RNA from Ipomoea nil (Japanese morning glory), 110 nucleotides. RefSeq lists it as uncharacterized. The transcript has 3 exons. The record is from RefSeq and is a predicted model, not a curated record. Lineage: Eukaryota; Viridiplantae; Streptophyta; Magnoliopsida; Solanales; Convolvulaceae.